This 492-nucleotide ribosomal RNA is filed under the name uncultured bacterium. RNAcentral's name for it is "bacterial SSU rRNA". It matches the Rfam family "Bacterial small subunit ribosomal RNA", at positions 28 to 526 of the family's 1533-position model. The record is from RNAcentral.
GAUGAACGCUGGCGGCGUGCCUAAUACAUGCAAGUCGAGCGGUAAGGCUCUCACUCUGUACUUAAUGAUUUGAGUAUGGUGUGAGAGUACACGAGCGGCGGACGGCUGAGUAACGCGUAGGAAUGUACCCCAAAGUGAGGGAUAAGCUCCAGAAAUGGAGUCUAAUACCGCAUGUGAUCUUCGGAUUAAAGCUUUAUGCGCUUUGGGAACAGCCUGCGUCCGAUUAGCUAGUUGGUGAGGGUAAAAGCCCACCAAGGCGACGAUCGGUAGCUGGUCUGAGAGGAUGAUCAGCCAGACUGGGACUGAGACACGGCCCAGACUCCUACGGGAGGCAGCAGUAGGGAAUUUUCCACAAUGGGGGCAACCCUGAUGGAGCAACGCCGCGUGCAGGAUGAAGGCUUUCGGGUCGUAAACUGCUUUUCUCUGUGACGAUUAUGACGGUAACAGAGGAAUAAGGGUCUGCUAACUACGUGCCAGCCGCCGCCGUAAAAC